UCGCAAUCUUCUUUAUCGAUUUGAACUCUCAAAAAAAAUUACGCUGUUAUCCCUAAGGUAACUUUUUCUUUUAAUCUAAAUAAUAGGAUCAAAAAAUCAUUAAUUAAUGGUUAAAUAAAAAAAAGUUUAUUAAAUUUUUCUGUCACCCCAACUAAACAAAUUUAUAUCUACAAAAUUUUUAUUCCAAUAAUUUAUUAACAACAAAUUUGUAAAGCUCUAUAGGGUCUUCUUGUCUUCUAUAAUUAUUUAAGCUUUUUCACUUAAAAAUAAAAUUCUAAAAAAAUUUUCUCGAGAGAGCAGGUUUCUCAUCAAUCCCUUCAUUCCAGCUUCUAAUUAAGAAACUAAUUAUUAUGCUACCUUUGCACGGUCAAAAUACCGCGGCCAUUUAAAAUUAAUUCAUUGGGCAGGAGCGACCUUAAAUUAUAAUCAAAAGGAC
This 436-nucleotide ribosomal RNA is filed under the name Aphanarthrum bicinctum. RNAcentral describes it as "partial 16S ribosomal RNA". The record is from RNAcentral. Lineage: Eukaryota; Metazoa; Arthropoda; Insecta; Coleoptera; Curculionidae.